RNAcentral lists this ribosomal RNA (483 nucleotides) under uncultured bacterium. RNAcentral describes it as "partial 16S ribosomal RNA". It matches the Rfam family "Bacterial small subunit ribosomal RNA", at positions 30 to 507 of the family's 1533-position model. The record is from RNAcentral.
AUUGAACGCUGGCGGCAGGCCUAACACAUGCAAGUCGAGCGGAUGAAGGGAGCUUGCUCCUGGAUUCAGCGGCGGACGGGUGAGUAAUGCCUAGGAAUCUGCCUGGUAGUGGGGGAUAACGUCCGGAAACGGGCGCUAAUACCGCAUACGUCCUGAGGGAGAAAGUGGGGGAUCUUCGGACCUCACGCUAUCAGAUGAGCCUAGGUCGGAUUAGCUAGUUGGUGGGGUAAAGGCCUACCAAGGCGACGAUCCGUAACUGGUCUGAGAGGAUGAUCAGUCACAUGGGAACUGAGACACGGUCCGGACUCCUACGGAAGGCAGCAGUGGGAAAUAUUGGACAAGGGGCGAAAGCCUGAUCCAGCCACGCGGCGGGUGUGAAGAAGGUCUUCGGAUGGUAAAGCACUUUAAGUUGGGAGGAAGGCAGUAAGUUAAUACCUUGCUAUUUUGACGUUACCAACAGAAUAAGCACCGGCUAACUUCGUG